CUGUUUUAGUUGGUGGUGGUUAGCAACGAUAGAGAUGGUGGUGGUCUGCGGCUUGUGGUCGUAAUGGUUAGCGUCAACAGAUUCUGGUGACCCAACCUAGGGUUUUCGACCAGAUUCUGGUAGCCCUAUCUAGGGUUCUGACCAUAACACUAAUCCGGUGAAAGUUGUAGAUCUGGUCAGUAAGGGAAUGACAACGAAUUUCGUGUUGUGUGAAGAAGUGAAGUCCAAACAUCCCAGAGUCACAUAUGCUGAUCUCUAUCAGGAUUCAAACGUGUCGCCUAAUGAAGGAUGUCUUCCUGAUGCCAAGCAAGGCCCAUCCCAUCUCCGUGAAAAAAUGUCGUUAAGAAUCAUAGUCCAAGCUCUUUUCUUCGAGCAGUUGCAGCUCAGGACCUCUAUCGCCGGCUGUUUCUUGGUCUCCAACAAUCUUGCAGACGGGUCAAGACAGUUUAGAAGCGGGUUAGGUGCAGCAUCACAGGAGGGCGGUUGGAACACGGUUGGAACGCAGCGUUGAUACUACUGCUCCUACGUUUGCCACCACCGGUGUCAUCUUCACGAAUAGGUACCGAGACCACUUUCUUCUUCCUUACAAACUUUGUUUUGUAAGUGGGAUAUGCUUUUGCAGCGAUAAGCCCAUUCUGGCAGUAGAAAACUUACCCAUUUUGACCCAUUACCCAACACUCUCGACAUGCCCCUUUUGCCACCUCUAACCAAAUUAUUUAUAUGAUAGUUUUACAGCUAUUGACUUUUUUCUUAUUUUUCAUGUGGCUGUCACACCUGAGGCUUGAAUGAUGGAUGAGGUUGUAAAAGAUGAUGUACCAAUGUUAUCAGCUACAAAUUGGCCAUCCGAUAGACACGAUUAUAAACCAAAUCAGAAAUUCUCAAACACGAACAGAAUUGUUUCGAUAUUCAUUCCAGUGCCCUCCGUUUAAAUGAGUUCUGGUUCAACAAAUCGCAUUGACCUUACCAGUCCCGUGCAGACUGAGAAAACAAUGUUAGAAGUGCCUGUGGAACAAGAAAACAUUAAACAUAAUAAAAGACAAGGGGGAGUUUGCAACGCCGCAGCCAGCGCAAAUGCAGCGAACGCAGCCCCAUCGGCUCAGCGAGCACACCCGCAACAGUUCAGCGAGCGUAGCCGUAGCGAAAGCAGCUGCAACAGCGCAACGAGCGCAACUGCAGCGAACGCAGCCGCAUCUGUAUCACCAAGCACAACCCCAGCGAGCCCGACGCAACGCCGCAUCCAGCGCAACCGCAACGGCUCGGCGAGCGCAAUCGCACUGAGCACAACCCCUAAGGCGGAGAGACUGUUGAAAAAGUCAACGCAGUGACAAGGAUUGUUGCAGCAGCCGAAGUGGUAGAGAACCUAGAAGAGGGAGAUACGAUGAUGAUGAGGGUCGAAGUUGGUCUCCUAACAGGCAGAGAGACUGUAGCAAAAUUCAAGGCAGGGGGACAGGGAUUGUUAUAGCAGCUGAAGUAGCAGAGAACGUCGAAGAGGGAGAUACGAUGUUGAUGAGGGUCGAAGUCGGGACAGGGACCUGCUAACCCACAAACCCGACCCGUUUAUACUCCAAUUUUAAAGUGUGUAUCUUUUAGUCUUCCGCAAAUCAAAAUUUUUAAAGGGUGUAUCUUAGUCUUCUUAUCUUCCGUAUAUAACCAAA
Helianthus annuus (common sunflower) is the source of this 1655-nucleotide long non-coding RNA. RefSeq lists it as uncharacterized. The record is from RefSeq and is a predicted model, not a curated record. Lineage: Eukaryota; Viridiplantae; Streptophyta; Magnoliopsida; Asterales; Asteraceae. The transcript has 7 exons.